CAGUCGCCACGGGAAUACGUAGGGUGCAAGCGUUAAUCGGAAUUACUGGGCGUAAAGCGUGCGCAGGCGGUUAUAUAAGUCAGAUGUGAAAUCCCCGGGCUCAACCUGGGAACUGCAUUUGAGACUGUAUGGCUAGAGUGUGUCAGAAGGGGGGUAGAAUUCCACGUGUAGCAGUGAAAUGCGUAGAUAUGUGGAGGAAUACCGAUGGCGAAGGCAGCCCCCUGGGAUAACACUGACGCUCAUGCACGAAAGCGUGGGGAGCAAACAGGAUUAGAUACCCCAGUAGUCCCUGUCUCUUAUA
Molecule: ribosomal RNA, 301 nt
Filed under: uncultured bacterium
Lineage: Bacteria
Description: partial 16S ribosomal RNA
Rfam family: Bacterial small subunit ribosomal RNA
Source: RNAcentral